This 165-nucleotide ribosomal RNA is filed under the name uncultured bacterium. RNAcentral describes it as "partial 16S rRNA". It matches the Rfam family "Bacterial small subunit ribosomal RNA", at positions 355 to 511 of the family's 1533-position model. The record is from RNAcentral.
UAGGGAAUCUUCCACAAUGGGCGGAAGCCUGAUGGAGCAACGCCGCGUGUGUGAUGAAGGGUUUCGGCUCGUAAAACACUGUUGUAAGAGAAGAAUGACAUUGAGAGUAACUGUUCAAUGUGUGACGGUAUCUUACCAGAAAGGAACGGCUAAAAUACGUGCCAC